Molecule: ribosomal RNA, 496 nt
Filed under: uncultured bacterium
Lineage: Bacteria
Description: partial 16S ribosomal RNA
Rfam family: Bacterial small subunit ribosomal RNA
Source: RNAcentral
GAUGAACGCUGGCGGCGUGCCUAAUACAUGCAAGUCGAGCGAACGGACGAGAAGCUUGCUUCUCUGAUGUAGCGGCGGACGGGUGAGUAACACGUGGAUAACCUACCUAUAAGACUGGGAUAACUUCGGGAAACCGGAGCUAAUACCGGAUAAUAUUUUGAACCGCAUGGUUCAAAAGUGAAAGACGGUCUUGCUGUCACUUAUAGAUGGAUCCGCGCUGCAUUAGCUAGUUGGUAAGGUAACGGCUUACCAAGGCAACGAUGCAUAGCCGACCUGAGAGGGUGAUCGGCCACACUGGAACUGAGACACGGUCCAGACUCCUACGGGAGGCAGCAGUAGGGAAUCUUCCGCAAUGGGCGAAAGCCUGACGGAGCAACGCCGCGUGAGUGAUGAAGGUCUUCGGAUCGUAAAACUCUGUUAUUAGGGAAGAACAUAUGUGUAAGUAACUGUGCACAUCUUGACGGUACCUAAUCAGAAAGCCACGGCUAACUACGUG